UUUAUGGAGAGUUUGAUCCUGGCUCAGGAUGAACGCUGGCGGCGUGCCUAAUACAUGCAAGUCGAGCGAACGGACGAGAAGCUUGCUUCUCUGAUGUUAGCGGCGGACGGGUGAGUAACACGUGGAUAACCUACCUAUAAGACUGGGAUAACUUCGGGAAACCGGAGCUAAUACCGGAUAAUAUUUUGGACCGCAUG
RNAcentral lists this ribosomal RNA (197 nucleotides) under Staphylococcus aureus. RNAcentral's name for it is "partial 16S ribosomal RNA". It matches the Rfam family "Bacterial small subunit ribosomal RNA", at positions 1 to 192 of the family's 1533-position model. The record is from RNAcentral. Lineage: Bacteria; Bacillati; Bacillota; Bacilli; Caryophanales; Staphylococcaceae.